CACGGCUCUUAUCACCCCAACUUCCGUGGUUUUGAUUACUACUUUGGAAUCCCAUAUAGCCAUGAUAUGGGCUGUACUGAUACUCCAGGCUACAACCACCCUCCUUGUCCAGCGUGUCCACAGGGUGAUGGAUCAUCAAGGAACCUUCAAAGAGACUGUUACACUGACGUGGCCCUCCCUCUCUAUGAAAACCUCAACAUUGUGGAGCAGCCGGUGAACUUGAGCAGCCUUGCCCAGAAGUAUGCUGAGAAAGCAACCCAGUUCAUCCAGCACGCAAG
Molecule: small RNA, 278 nt
Filed under: Pongo abelii (Sumatran orangutan)
Lineage: Eukaryota; Metazoa; Chordata; Mammalia; Primates; Hominidae
Description: processed transcript
Source: RNAcentral